AUGGCGGCCGGGCUGGGGCCGGGGCUGCUGGCCUUGGCCUUGGCCUUGUGGCCGGCAGGGCUCUGGGCACAGCCGAGGCUGCAGGAGGCCGGCGGAGGGCAGCGAGCGCCCGGGGACUCCGUCACCCUCUCCUGCCGUGCAUACGGAUUCACCUUUCGGAAUUAUGCAAUUUUUUUUUACCGUCAGGCACCCGGAGGCAGCCUGGAGUGGGUGUCCUUUAUUAGUUAUGAUCCGACAAUUUUUCAUUUUGACCAGUCAAUGCAGGGGCGGGCCACGAUUUCCCGGGACAAUUCCCGGUCCGAGGCUUAUCUCUCACUGCCGUCCCUGCAAGCUCAGGACUCUGCCCGGUACUUCUGUGCCAUCACACGGGGACAGGAAACCCAGCUGAGCUUUAACACAAACCAGGUCUGGCCUGGCACAGCACCCACAAUAUUUGGAGAUGGUGAAUUCCAAAGUGGUUCAGGGCUGUUCCUGAGAAAUCAGGGGCCAUCCUCAUGCAGCAGAAGUGAUCCUGGCCUUUCAUCAAGAGCUCCUUUCCCAACACUGAGGCUUUCCUUCUGCUGAGUCCCAGUUGCAAUUUUCUGUUCUGUAGAGGAGGAUCAAAGUUUUUCUGUCAUGCAAUCAGCCUGGUGACUGCCUGGCUCCAGUCCCACUCUGCCUUCCUUGGUCCCCUUCCUAAGUGGAACACACAAAGCACCUGGGCUUUGGCAACACCUUUGCCUGCUUCCUUUGACCCUUUUGGGGCCAUCUCCUUGCUCCACUGAGAGCAAAGCAGUGAUGCAAAGGGCCUGAUCUUCUUUCAGGUGCAUUUCAAGGUGAUGAGAUGCAAGCAACCAGCUCUGCAGGGUGGUGGCCAGCAGGGAACACUGGGACCCUCUGUUGCACUUCCAGCCCCAAAGGCUCCUAGAUUUCCAUGGGCUGGUGUCAGCAGUGUCCUGGUGAAGCCCUGCAGUGCUGCUGCAGUGCCAGGGCCGUGGAGGCUCCUACAGCCACACAGCCCCUUUUGCCCACAGGAGGUUUUCCUGCUGGGCUGAGCAGAGCUCUGGGACACUGCCCAUCAGUGGGCUGGAGCUGGGGGACAGUGCACUCUAUUACUGCACCCUGGAGGGUCCAGAGAGACACUUGGGGUGUGCCUGAACUCCAUCAGCUUCCUCCCCUCUGGCAUGUUCACGUGGGUCCCAGCCCAAGCAAGGGGACAGUCAGUGAGUGGGCUGUGCCUGGGGUCAGGGAAAUGGGGUCACACUGGUCCUGGGGGCUUGCAGAGAACAGGAGGAGAG
This is a non-coding RNA of Catharus ustulatus (Swainson's thrush), 1277 nucleotides long. The record is from the annotation of a RefSeq genome assembly. NCBI's taxonomy places the organism in Eukaryota, Metazoa, Chordata, Aves, Passeriformes, Turdidae.